RNAcentral lists this unclassified non-coding RNA (252 nucleotides) under rhizosphere metagenome. Its description in RNAcentral is "partial ribosomal RNA internal transcribed spacer region". The record is from RNAcentral.
GUAGGUGAACCUGCGGAAGGAUCAUUACAUUCAGUAGAUUUCUACUGUCGGGAGAGCGGAAAGUAACCAUGUUGGCGUUUGGUAACGUGGUUACAAGUACCUCUCUUUGCACAACCCUUGUCUUUUUGCGCACUCAUGUUUCCUCGGUGGGCUUGCCCACCGGCUGGACACUUCUAUAACCUUUUUAAUUCUCAAUCAGCGUCUGAAUAAUUAUAAUAAUUACAACUUUCAACAACGGAUCUCUUGGUUCUG